Anolis carolinensis (green anole) is the source of this 4128-nucleotide long non-coding RNA. The record is from Ensembl. NCBI's taxonomy places the organism in Eukaryota, Metazoa, Chordata, Lepidosauria, Squamata, Anolidae.
AUGUCAAGUCAUAGCAAUGAGAUUUUGCAAACAAGGGUCAAAUCUCCCCGCCCAGUCAGAGAAAGGCACCCCACAGAGAAAACAAUGCUCUGCCUUUUGCAGCAGGAAGGCCAGCUUAGGCAGAGGUUUAACAGAGCUUGGCAAAACCUGCCAACCAUAGCUGAUGCAAUAAAGGCAUCCUUUUGCCCAAAGGAAAAGGAAAUUCUUAGGCAAGAAUUUGUAAAGGCCUUCAAUAAUGGGAGUGCUAUUGCAGAAGAAAUAAUCUAUGUACUGAACAAAAUUAACACUCCAGAGUCUUUAGAUAGGGCUAAGGAAAUUUCUUUUAGCCUACAAGAAGAGAGGAGGCGCUACAGCGCGGUUCUAUCUGAACCAGAGCCCAGUUCCUUAUUCAAAGGUGCAGAAGAAAGGGUUCAAGGCUCCCCAUGUGUAAGCCUUAGAUCCAGUCUGCUCAAGAUUCCAUCUAAUGAUGCUAGCCAUAAAUCCAAGCAUUCAUCUAGGCGUAGCAGUUCCUCCCAAUCCACACAUUCAUUCAUCAGUACUUCUUCCAAAGCAGCCCACUACAACAGAGAGGCUGUCCGUUUGAAAAUUAGAAAAGAGGUUUUAGAAGCACAGGCAUCUGCAGAAAUGGCUAAGCAACACCUUGCCUUCAGUGAAGAGGAACUCCUCCUUCAACAGGCUAAAGCCAAGCAGAAACUGCUUCUAGCUCAGGCUAGGGCCCAACAAGAAGCUGACCUAGCACAGGCCAGCGCCCAGAGAGAAAUAGAGCUUGCAAUGGCUGAAGCCAAGCAAGAUGAGCUGCAACGGGAUCUAGAUCUGCUUCAAGUAAAAAGAGACACAGCACAAAAGAUAGUCAGAGCUAAUGUUCUAGCCAAAGCCCUAUCACAGGAACUAACCCAAGAAAACCUUAGUUUCCUGCCAACACAAGAGCCUACAGCAAAGGUUUCAGCACACCUGCAACUGGCACCACCUGUAGUGCAGAGUCAUAUCUCCUUUUGCCACCUUGAAGAUCGCUCACCUGUUCCAGUGUUCGCGACUUCAAGGCCAGCCCAUUCCUCAGAAGUACAGCAAAGCACGGCCGGGAGAGUGCCAUCUCUGUCAGAGUCCAUCCCUGUACUUAGGCCUCAGAGAUACCACUUGUCUACUUGGGAACAAAAAGAUGACGUCUUUCAACAACAUCCAGAUGUCCAUUCACAUUGGCAAGGCAUGGCCGGGAGUGAACCACCACAUUCAUCCCUGCAUACCAAGUCAAUUCUCCCAUCGCUGAAGAUGAAGGCUUCAGAGGUGCUGCCUGCCAGCAAUCUGCUGAACCCAGCAUCGCCUACCAUCGCGAAAAGAUGUGUUCAACCGAAGAACAUUGACUUCGUCGGGCCACAUCACACUCCUCAGAUGUACCCUUACACACUGGAGUCUCAAUUGGGUUCCCUCUUGAGAAAUCCAAGAAGAGACAUCAGAGACAAAGGCGUCCAGAAAUUCACUGACCGACCGGAUGACUACCUUCUGUGGAAAAUCACCUUCAUGAGGGCCAUUCGAGAUUUCAAGCUAGAAGCAGAUGAAGAACUGUCCCUUCUUAUGGCGUGGCUUGGACCCAGCUCAGCCGAGCAAGUAAAAAGACCUUAUGCUGCUCAUGUAGCAGACCCCCAAAGAGCUUUGUCCACAGCGUGGUCUCGCUUGGACCAGCGCUUCGGUGCGAGCACUGAGAUAGAAGCGUCCCUCAUGGAUCGACUCAACAGGUUCCCAUCACUGAAGAUGAAAGAUUGCAAACAGCUUUGGGACUUUAGUGAUCUUUUACUAGAGCUAGCUUCAGCCAAAGGAAAUCCAGAGCUGCCAGGUUUAGCAUGUCUGGACCAGCACACGUCACAGAGUGCCAUUCUCUGCAAACUUCCUUUUCCUCUUCGAGAAGCUUGGGGGAAACAGGUGUUCAAGUACAAAGAGGAGAAUGCAAAUGUAUACCCGCCCUUCACCUUUUUGGUGGAUUUCGUCACUAGAGCAGCCCGUGAGAGGAAUGACCCUCAAACAGCUCUUCUCGCUUUGUACCAAGACCUAAAGCCUGAAAAGACCUCCAAAGAAGACAAAGCCCAGGGCAAAGAUCUUAAAAGGAACCUGAGUGUCAAGAUGACAGACGCAACUCCUGCAACUUCUGCUCAACCAGUCAGCAAGAACAGCAUAUCCUGUCCCAUUCAUCAAAGGCCACACAGCCUAGCUGAAUGCAGAGAGUUCGCAAAGAAGCCUUACAAAGAACGACUCCAAAUAGUUCAAAAGGCCAAGGUGUGCUUUAGAUGCUGCGGCGCCACUAUUCACUUCUCCAAAGACUGCAAAGAAAAGGUUAAAUGCCAACACUGCAACAGCAUCAAGCAUUGCUCUGCAAUGCAUAACUUCGAUUCCCCUCAAUUCAAAGCAAAGUCAAAUUCUCCUGCCAAAGAAGAAACCAAAGAAGACCAAAAGCCUACAGAACCUCAGGUAGCCCUCAAGGCUCCUGCGGUUGCCUGCACCAAGCUUUGUCAAAAUAGCCACAAGCCCAGGAUUUGCCACCCAAUCUGCCUGGCAGAGGUGUAUCCAGACAAGCAGCCGUGGAAUAAGAAAAGGGUCUACGUCGCCUUGGAUGCCCAAAGUGACGCAUCUCUUGCAACCCCAGAGUUCUUCAACAUGUUCAACCUUCAUACCGAGACAAUAGAUUACACCAUAUCCACUUGUUCUGGAAAGAAUAAGAUGAAUGGCAGAGUUGCAACAAAGUUCAAAAUCUCACCUGUCGGACAAAAGGCCAGGUACGAUCUUCCCGACCUUAUAGAAUGCAGCCUGAUUCCCAGGAACAAAGAACAGAUAGCGACGAAGGAGGUGGUACAAACCCAUGCUCAUCUCAAAGGUAUUCAAGAUCUAAUUCCAGCUUUGGACUUAGAAACAGACAUCGUAAUGCUUAUCGGUGCAAAUUGUCCCACACUGUUCCGUGUUAGCAACCAGAUUGAAGGUCCUAAGGGAUCACCCAUGGCCCAGCAGUUGCCUUUAGGAUGGACGGUGUUAGGCCCAGUCUGCCUGAACAAGAUGUUCCAGCCUGUCACUAAAAGGCCUUCACUAAUGCAAGGAUGUGCCAGCCACAUCUCAGUUUGCUGCCAGGGAGUAAUGCCAGAUUACUCUCCCAUCAUCGAAGUCACAGAGAGAGAUGAGCAAACAGCCUUCUCUAAAAAUGAUCAGAAGUUUCUUGAGAUGAUGAACAACCAAGUCACUCAAGACCCUGAAGGUAAUUGGAUAGCACCUUUACCUUUCAAGCUGGAAAGACCAUCUCUACCCAACAACAGAGAUGUUGCCCAUCAUCGUCUCCUGUCCUUAAGAAGAAGGAUGCUAAAGGAUCCGAAGGUAAAGACCCAGAUCACCCAGUUUGUGGAAGACCUCUUCAGAAGCAACUACGCUGAACCAGCCAGCAUGUGUGCGGAGGGAGAAGAGCAGUGGCAUUACAUAUCCACUUCAGAAAAUCCGGCAGAUGUGACAUCCCGAGGAACAUCAGCCGCAAAGUUGUCCAAGUCAUCCUGGAUCACUGGACCCAAAUGUCUUCAAAAUCCUUCCUUUCCAGAAAGCAUUUCCGUGCUCAAAGACACUGAGUUGCCAGAAAUUCAGUCCUGCAAAUCUACCAUCGAUGGCCAAGACUUAUCAAGGGAAGGUUUAAAUCUAGCCAAGUUUGAAAGAUUUUCAAAAUGGACUAGACUUCAGGCAGCCAUUGCCAGGCUCAUACAUUACAUCACUACAAAAAACAGUGGUGCAAUUCAGCCCCAAGAUCUUUCGAAAGCCUCAACAGUCAUCCUGAGAUCCACUCAAAGACAGUGUUUUUCAGAAGAAAUAGCUUGUUUAGAAAGAAAAGCAUCCUUGCCCAAAAAUAGUUGUUUAAAGGACUUGAACCCCUUCCUGGACAAUGAGGGUCUCCUUAGGGUUGGAGGUAGACUAAAAAGAGCAAAGAUUAGAUCCUGUGUUAAAAAUCCUUUUAUUUUGCCACACCAUAGCCACAUAGCUCUGCUGUUGACACAGCAUUUCCACGCAAAGGUCAAACACCAAGGAAGGUCAAUUACUCAGUCUGCCCUAAGAAACUAUGGGUUUUGGAUUGUUAGGUGCCAACGUAAAGGUUGGGGAUUUGGUGUUACUUAA